RNAcentral lists this non-coding RNA (206 nucleotides) under Thermoactinomyces sp. Its description in RNAcentral is "T-box sequence". It matches the Rfam family "T-box leader". Rfam says of the family: Uncharged tRNA acts as the effector for transcription antitermination of genes in the T-box leader family. T-boxes are found upstream of many aminoacyl-tRNA synthetase genes and some amino acid biosynthetic genes usually in Gram-positive bacteria. The record is from RNAcentral. Lineage: Bacteria; Bacillati; Bacillota; Bacilli; Caryophanales; Thermoactinomycetaceae.
ACAAGAGUGAAGAAGAGACUAGUACCCAUUCAUUUCAGCCUUAGAGAGACGGUGUCGUGGUGCAAACCGUCCUGAAAUAGUGGGGAAUCCACCUCGGAGCUACACACGAUUAAGUGUGCUCGGUCUUUUGGCCGUUAUCUCAAUCAAGUGGAUGUCGUAUUUACGAUGUCAAUUAGGGUGGCAACGCGGAACCUUUCGUCCCUGGA